This 76-nucleotide transfer RNA is filed under the name Streptomyces uncialis. RNAcentral's name for it is "tRNA-Gly". It matches the Rfam family "tRNA". From Rfam's summary of the family: Transfer RNA (tRNA) molecules are approximately 80 nucleotides in length. The record is from RNAcentral. RNAcentral also lists the same sequence under 1 other name. Lineage: Bacteria; Bacillati; Actinomycetota; Actinomycetes; Kitasatosporales; Streptomycetaceae.
GCGGACGUAGCUCAGUUGGUAGAGCGCAACCUUGCCAAGGUUGAGGUCGCGAGUUCGAACCUCGUCGUCCGCUCCG